Molecule: ribosomal RNA, 253 nt
Filed under: uncultured bacterium
Lineage: Bacteria
Description: partial 16S ribosomal RNA
Rfam family: Bacterial small subunit ribosomal RNA
Source: RNAcentral
UACGGAGGGUGCAAGCGUUAUCCGGAUUCACUGGGUUUAAAGGGUGCGUAGGCGGAUAGGUAAGUCCGUGGUGAAAUCCUGCAGCUUAACUGCAGAACUGCCGUGGAUACUAUCUAUCUUGAAUGUCGUGGAGGUUAGCGGAAUAUGUCAUGUAGCGGUGAAAUGCUUAGAUAUGGCAUAGAACACCCAUUGCGAAGGCAGCUAACUACGCGAUAAUUGACGCUGAUGCACGAAAGCGUGGGGAUCAAACAGG